GCCGAGGUAGCUCAGUAGGUAGAGCAGAGGACUGAAAAUCCUCGUGUCGCUGGUUCGAUUCCGGCCCUCGGCA
This 73-nucleotide transfer RNA is filed under the name Thermodesulfobium narugense DSM 14796. It matches the Rfam family "tRNA". From Rfam's summary of the family: Transfer RNA (tRNA) molecules are approximately 80 nucleotides in length. Their secondary structure includes four short double-helical elements and three loops (D, anti-codon, and T loops). Lineage: Bacteria; Pseudomonadati; Thermodesulfobiota; Thermodesulfobiia; Thermodesulfobiales; Thermodesulfobiaceae. The record is from Rfam by way of RNAcentral. RNAcentral also lists the same sequence under 1 other name.